Molecule: long non-coding RNA, 756 nt
Organism: Musa acuminata AAA Group (dessert banana)
Lineage: Eukaryota; Viridiplantae; Streptophyta; Magnoliopsida; Zingiberales; Musaceae
Exons: 2
Source: RefSeq, a predicted model, not a curated record
CAUCUCUAACCUGCUUCUUCUUCUUCUUCUUCUCAUCUCUUAUUCUUAUAUCUAAUGAUCACUCAUAUAUGUUAAUAAUAAAGAAAAUAUUUAAAUGCAUACACAGCCACCUAUCGUGGAAUGCGGCGCCUACGAGUUCGUCGUGAGCAGACGUCGCAUCACGUCCCCUCGUCCCAAGAAUCCAUCACUGCCGUCCAUCACAUCACCACCUUCAUACGAUCUGUUUCGAUUGCCAUCCUGCAGAAAAGCUAGAAAUUGGUAGGAUGCGCUCGGGUCGUAUCCUAAGCAAAACGGUGGUCACAUCAUUAACCGUCAGAUUCUUUAAUUCAACGAAUCAGGAUGCAUAUUUGACGGUUGAGAUGUAUGAGAUCGAACCCACAGCGUGCGUUAGGAAGGCCCAUUAUAACCAACUGCUCUCUCGCCAUCGGCUGCGCACCGGUCCCUUGCGUGAUUUCCCCGCUCUUUCUCCGCUCUCCGAAGGAGUGGGGAAGACUGAAGAGGAGAAGGCCACGGUGGUGGAGGCGACGGAGAACGUCAAGAAAGCGGAGUCGUCCCUGGAGGAGAAGCACCUUCCUUUCGGCGUCCUCUUCUUCUUUUCGCCUUCUCCCUGAGGAAAACAAAUUGGUGCUACCGUUCUUUCUUGGACUUGGGUUUCGAGGACAAAGAACUGUGGUAAACUGAUUAUAAUAUUGAACGGAUAUUAUAAUUUAUCAGAGUUUUCACUUUUAUAGUAUGAAUCUUACUACUUUUUCUUCA